CGGAGUGGCUGCCCUGCGCGGGGACACUCAGAGCCCGGUGGGCAGGAGGAAGGCGGCAUGCCCCAGACGGUGAUCCUCCCGGGCCCUGCGCCCUGGGGCUUCAGGCUCUCAGGGGGCGUAGACUUCAACCAGCCUUUGGUCAUCACCAGGAUUACACCAGGAAGCAAGGCGGCAGCUGCCAACCUGUGUCCUGGAGAUGUCAUCCUGGCUAUUGACGGCUUUGGGACAGAGUCCAUGACUCAUGCUGAUGCGCAGGACAGGAUUAAAGCAGCAGCUCACCAGCUGUGUCUCAAAAUUGACAGGGGAGAAACUCACUUAUGGUCUCCACAAGUAUCUGAAGAUGGGAAAGCCCAUCCUUUCAAAAUCAACUUAGAAUCAGAACCACAGGAAUUCAAACCCAUUGGUACCGCGCACAACAGAAGGGCCCAGCCUUUUGUUGCAGCUGCAAACAUUGAUGACAAAAGACAGGUAGUGAGCGCUUCCUAUAACUCGCCAAUCGGGCUCUAUUCAACUAGCAAUAUACAAGAUGCGCUUCACGGACAGCUGCGGGGUCUCAUUCCUAGCUCGCCUCAAAAGACGGGAACUACUUUGAACACAAGCACAACAUUCGGCCCAAACCCUUCGUGAUCCCGGGCCGAAGCAGGUCAUACGCGCUGAGACUGUGGAGUUUGCAGUGCAUGCUUCUUAAAUCAGUUCUUACUAAUCAUCAAGAAAAGUAACUGGUAGAUGUUUGGAGUGGCUUUUCUCAUUGCGAAGCUUAUUUCAAAAGCAAAAAGAAACAAACUCACUUGGCAGAGAACAGAAGCCAAAUAACUUGCAUUUCCAAGGGUAAAUAUUGACAAGAUGACAGAGCUGUGAAAUUGUAUGCGAUCACCACGUGUAUUUAUAGCGAACACCCCUGAGGCUCUGGGGAUCCCAUCCAGAACACUGUGACCUUUGAGUCGGGCAGUCAGUAUGUCUAUCCCAGGUCAGGAAAGCCCUGCCAGCAGGAGCGAGCAUGGAAACCAGCCCCGAUUAGGAGCAAGGAAUCAGGUGAACAAGCCAGAAUGAUAAGGAGCAAGCUCUUCCUUCUCGUCUCUCAGUAGAGAAACUGAUCAUCUUCAGAUCAUCCUUUUCAAAUAUCUUCUCUAGAAAUUGAACUCCAACCUAAGGGGAAAGAAAAUAAUGCCCUGUAUUGCCAAAUCAGGAAACAGUGACUUCAGGAAACCUCUGUUCCAUCCUUCUGACCUCAGCUAAGCCAGUCAGCCCACAGGAAGGAAGCUGGUGGUUAGACCGGAUUGAUUCCGACAGGAACAUUGAAUAUGAUUUACCGCAGCUGUUGCAAACUGAUGGCCCAUAGGUGGAUUUAUUUCACAGGCAUGUUUUAUUUAAUUCUUUUGUUUAAAAAAAAAGAAUUUAAGUGCCUUUAGACAGAACAUUUAAACUCACCAUCUUGUCAAAAUGCGCAUCACUCUUAAGUGUGUGAGACGCGGCCCAUUUUCAUACAUGUGUGACCUCCUGGCCCCUCUAGACACCCGAGCUCAUGUCUCCUGUCAUAAGCUGCGGAUAGCAGGUCAUCCCUUAUGUAUGAUUGCCAUGUCCAGACCUUUCAGGAAGCUACAGGCAGAGCCAGGUGAUUGUCUCAAAAUAUGCCAGACAAUUCUUGUGAUAUCAGAUCCAGAAAGGAGCCCUGGACCAGAGGAGCAGGAGAAAGGCGUUAAGAAGGCAACCAUGAGCAAACACAUCUUCCCCCCACUGGAACGUGAGCUCAGUGUCUGCAGGGGCCUGGUCUGACUGGCUCAACAUUAUACCCCCAGCACCUAGAAAUGAGACAGGAUAAAUGCUCAAUAAGCAACCAUCUACAAACAGACAAAAUAAACGCCCAAUAAAUGCUCACUGGAUAAAGGAAUCAAAUCCUGAGGGUGCACAACAUUUCCCGAGCGAGUGGCAAGAAGAGUCCAGAGCCGUCUCGCUCCCGAUGCUGGCAGCUCUGUGUCCUCUCCUGCUUCUCUCUAUGUGUUCCCUUGUUCUUACUCUGUUCUCAUCUGCAUCUUUUCCGUUUCUCCACUUUCAACAGCUUCCCCACUCCAACCCAACCCCAAUAACAAAACACUGGAUUUAAAGUUAAAAGGAUAUGAUAUUUUACUGUUGAAUAUAUACAACUUCCCAAAGAAGCAUAGUAAAAUUAAUCACUUGCAUUCUUUUCAGGUUAGUGUGACUGAGUCCACCCACACAAGCUCUGGGGCUUCAGAAGGCUUGAAUAAAGUGAUACGUUAGAGUAACACAUAUCCUGCCUUUACUAAAAACCUAUAACAUUUAAUUUUAUAAAAAGUCAGGAAAGUCAGAGAAUCCUAGGUAUAUAAUCACCUUUUAAAAAAAAUUUUCAUUUUAACUUAAACAUAGGGAUAAUGGCAAGCCACUCAUAAUGUUGUCAUUUGAAGAUAACACCUUUUAAUAUAGCUGAAUUUGGAAGAGAGAAGGAGAGAAACAGAAAUGAGAAGUUUUGCUUAAAAAACAGAUGCCAGUGCACAAAUCUUAAAGAAUUAUAAGGCCUGGUGCGAUGGCUCACACCUGUAAUCCCAGCACUUUGGGAGACAGAGGUGGGCGAAUCACAAGGUCAGGAGUUCGAGACCAUCCUGGCCAACAUGGUGUAACCCCAUGUCUACCAAAAAUACAAAAAGUUAGCUGGGCAUGGUGGCAGGCACCUGUAAUCCCAGCUACUGGGGAGGCUGAGGCAGGAGAAUCGCCUGAGCCUGGGAGGCGGAGGUUGUAGUGAGCUGAGAUCAUGCCACUGCAACAAACGUGAGACUCCAUCUCAAAAAAAAAAAAAAAAAAAA
Molecule: small RNA, 2816 nt
Filed under: Pan troglodytes (chimpanzee)
Lineage: Eukaryota; Metazoa; Chordata; Mammalia; Primates; Hominidae
Description: retained intron
Source: RNAcentral